AUAUGCAAAGCAUGCAUCAGCCACAUCCAUGCUAUCUCCUAAAGCAGUCAUUCUGAAACCCAAUCUGGGGACAGUGCAGACUAAAUAAAAUUUCAUUUUGAUUUGGCCUCCCGCUGCGAAUGGGACUGCUUUGUCUCAGCCGACAGAACCAGCAAGCCAGAAAGGGAAUGAAGACAUUUGGAGAAGAAGCGUUUACUGAAAGGAGAUUCCUGGGCUGGAGGAAAACCAUGAUCUACAGUUCAUGUUGACAGAUAUUGUAUUUUUGGUCCUAGAUCUGACUUUUGAAAUGACUUAUCACAAAUUCAAAUUUAGCAAUCAUGAGUGAAGUACCCACGAUGUGCUAAGCAUCUACCUCUGCAGAUAGAAGAACACUUACUGUUCCUGAGCAUGGGAGGGAAUAGAAGUUCCUGGGUCCUGGCCUCACCUCAUCAGACGAGGGAACUGAGCUGUCAAAACUAAGUGACUUGAUUGAGGCCAUGCAGCUGGCGAGGGGAGGACCAGGAUCUGAACCCAACUGGGUCUCCCAAGCCUGGGCCACUGAACCAUUUCACCUCUUGGAAAAACUUAAUGGUCAGAGUGGCCCACCCAGUCCAUGGACAGCAUGGAGUGGUAUGGUGGAAGAGGAGGGAAGAAAACCUGUGUAUUGUAAGUCAUAUUCUUCUAUGGUGUGAAGGUUAACGUAAGUUUUAAGAAAGUUUUUUUUUUUAAUUUUAUUAUAUGAUCUUGCUCUAAAGGGAUGUAAAUUCAGAUGCUGAAUUGCACACAUCCUUUCUCUUUCAUAUUUUCAAUAUUGAACGUAAUUUCAAUAUUUAACAUAAAACAAUGAGUACAUUGUCUCCACCUCAUUGUUUUUGGGUGGUGUUUGUGAGGAGCCUGCGUUCUUUGGAAGGAAGACCUUUCAGAUGACCUGACCAGUCCUCCUCUUCAGAACCCGGAUGCUGGCGAAGCAGGUGAGUGACAGCCUGCUUCCCUCCGUGUGCCACGCAACCCUUGCUUAGAGCGCAGUGUUGACAUAUUGAAAUGCCUGGGGUUUCUCAGCAGCAUUUUAGCACACAAAGAGCUCCUUUGUCAACUUUUAGCAGUGUCUGGUCAUACAUCCUGGCUAUAUAUAAAGACAUUUUCCACUCAAGAAAAACCUGGUUUCAUUAUUUAACUCAGUUUGUCACCUCUGGAUGGUUCCCCCAACCCACCCAAAAUAGAAGAUAUUUUUGAGCUCCUUUACCAACAUGGGUACCAGGGACUAUGGCUGCAGAAAGUAGAAUGAUAGACAUGGGAGACCUGGAAGAGAGGGAGUGCAAGGGGGUGGACGAUGAGGAAUGACUUAUUGAGUACAAUAUAUAUUAUUUGGGUGAUGAAUACACUAAAAGCUCAGACUUCAUCACCAUACAAUGAUAUCCCAGUAACAAAAUUGCUUUUGCACCCCUUAAAUUUAUGCAAAAAAAAACCCACACCAAAACAUUGCAAUGCAUCUUUCUGGUUACAGAUUUUUAAAAAGGCAUGUACAUAUCUCCUUCCCUGACCUCCCGUCUCUUUUAGAGCCAAGAAUGCCUGGCUUUGGGCCAUCUUGUUUUUUAGAGAGAUAUAGGGUCUCAUACCCUCCCAGGCUGGUCUCAAACCACUGGCUCCCAGAGAUCCUCC
This 1638-nucleotide long non-coding RNA is filed under the name Homo sapiens (human). RNAcentral describes it as "non-protein coding LINC01102:22". The record is from RNAcentral. Lineage: Eukaryota; Metazoa; Chordata; Mammalia; Primates; Hominidae.